GUCGAACGAGCGAGAGGAGGUUUACUUUCUCAAGCGAGUGGCGAACGGGUGAGUAACGCGUGAGGAACCUGCCUCAAAGAGGGGGACAACAGUUGGAAACGACUGCUAAUACCGCAUAAGCCCACGACCCGGCAUCGGGUAGAGGGAAAAGGAGCAAUCCGCUUUGAGAUGGCCUCGCGUCCGAUUAGCUAGUUGGUGAGGUAAUGGCCCACCAAGGCGACGAUCGGUAGCCGGACUGAGAGGUUGAACGGCCGCAUUGGGACUGAGACACGGCCCAGACUCCUACGGGAGGCAGCAGUGGGGAAUAUUGCACAAUGGGGGAAACCCUGAUGCAGCGACGCCGCGUGGAGGAAGAAGGUCUUCGGAUUGUAAACUCCUGUUGUUGAGGAAGAUAAUGACGGUACUCAACAAGGAAGUGACGGCUAACUACGUGCCAGCAGCCGCGGUAAAACGUAGGUCACAAGCGUUGUCCGGAAUUACUGGGUGUAAAGGGAGCGCAGGCGGGAAGACAAGUUGGAAGUGAAAUCCAUGGGCUCAACCCAUGAACUGCUUUCAAAACUGGUUUUCUUGAGUAGUGCAGAGGUAGGCGGAAUUCCCGGUGUAGCGGUGGAAUGCGUAGAUAUCGGGAGGAACACCAGUGGCGAAGGCGGCCUACUGGGCACCAACUGACGCUGAGGC
This 678-nucleotide ribosomal RNA is filed under the name uncultured bacterium. RNAcentral describes it as "bacterial SSU rRNA". It matches the Rfam family "Bacterial small subunit ribosomal RNA", at positions 61 to 752 of the family's 1533-position model. The record is from RNAcentral.